This is a non-coding RNA of Phoenix dactylifera (date palm), 2366 nucleotides long. The record is from RefSeq and is a predicted model, not a curated record. Lineage: Eukaryota; Viridiplantae; Streptophyta; Magnoliopsida; Arecales; Arecaceae.
AAUCAUAAACCCUAAGCCCCCUUCGCUGUUGCUCUCUUCUUCGCCCGCUCCUCUUUGCUACCAAAUGCCGAUGGCGAAGCCUCCGAAUCCCAAUUCCCAGAAGAACGAGAAGAGACCGCAGGGGAAGGUCGAUGAGGAGGAGGGCGAGGGAGACGUUCUCUCUUCCAAACUUCCCGAAGAGAUGGAAUCCCUUGACGGUGAUUCCGCCUCCGACAACGAGGAGGAGGAGGAGGAAGACGGCAGCCAAGUGUCCGACCUCGACGACGAGCAAUCUCGAUCGGACGUCUCCUCCGAUGGGGAUCCCUUCACCGAUGACUUCCUUGGAGGCAGCGAUGAGGAAGGAGAGGAAUUGAGGUCAGAGUCGGACGAGUCUGAUUUAGAGGCGAAGUCAAGAGCGAUUGAUGAGGCGAGAGCGAGGGCAGAGGUGGAGGCAGAUGAGGAAUUGAGGCUCAAUAUAAAGGAAGAGUCGGAUGAGUUCAGAUUGCCGACAAAAGAGGAGCUCGAAGAAGAAGCUCGUCUGCCACCAAACCUUUCAAAUCUCCAGCGGAGGAUAAAAGAGAUUGUCCGUGUGCUCACAAAUUUCAAGACUCUGAGGCAGGAGGGUGCCUCGCGGAAGGAUUACAUUGAUCAGCUUAAGGCGGACAUAAUGGCUUAUUAUGGCUAUAAUGAGUUUCUAGCUGAUACUUUCAUUGAGAUGUUCCCAGCUGUUGAGCUCAUUGAACUACUGGAGGCUUUUGAGAAGAACAGACCUGAAUGCUUGCGUACAAACACUUUGAAGACUCGGAGGCGGGAUCUUGCUGGUGUUCUAAUAAAUAGAGGGGUGAAUCUAGACCCAGUAGGGAAGUGGUCUAAGGUUGGGCUCGUUGUGUAUGAGUCACAAGUGCCUACUGGUGCAACACCUGAAUAUUUGGCUGGGCACUACAUGAGACAAGCUGCAAAUUCUUUUUUACCUGUUAUGGCUCUUGCUCCCCAAGAAAAGGAACGAAUUGUUGAUAUGGCGGCUGCUCCAGGUGGUAAGACAACAUACAUUGCAGCUCUUAUGAAGAACACUGGAGUAAUUUAUGCAAAUGAGUACAAGGAACCAAGGCUGAAGUCACUACUAGCCAACAUACAUCGUAUGGGUGUGACAAACACUGUAGUGUGCAACUAUGAUGGGAAGGAGCUACCGAAGAUUCUCGGAUUAAAUUCUGUUGAUAGAGUAUUACUGGAUGCCCCCUGCACCGGCACUGGGACUGUAUGCCCAGAUCAACAAUCUAUUAAAACAUCCAAGUCCAUUGAAGAUGUACAAAAUUGUGCUUUUCUUCAAAAGCAACUGAUUUUAGCAGCAAUUGAUUUAGUGGAUGCUAAUUCAAAAUCAGGGGGAUAUGUUGUCUACUCAACUUGCUCUGUGAUGAUUCCAGAGGUUUGUAUAAAGAACAUGAAUGCCUCGUCACUUAAUCAAAAUUCAAGAUUAAUGUGUUAUCUUUUUAAGGCAUUCCUUUAUAUUGUGCAGAAUGAAGCUAUUAUAGACUAUGCACUUAGAAAGAGAGAUGUAAAGAUUGUGCCAUGUGGAUUGGACUUUGGUCGCUCAGGAUUCAUCCGCUUUAGGGAGCAUAGGUUUCAUCCCUCUUUGGAAAAAACAAGGCGGUUUUAUCCCCAUGUAAACAACAUGGAAGGAUUUUUUGUGGCGAAGUUGAAGAAGCUAAGCAAUUCCAAACCAGCAGCUCCAGGAGCUCCUAACACAUCAGAAAAAACAGAAGAGGCAGCAGCUAUCGAUGACGAUAAGAAGCUACGGAAGGAUGCCCCAAAUGGAAAACCUGAGCAGCUCAAAAAUUCAAGGAAGGGUAAAGGAAAGAAAAAGAUUGGUUUUAAAAGCGGAACCCACAGCGAAGGAAAGGUAUCACCAUCCAAACCCAAGCUGAGGAAAAAACGGAAGUUCGCUUCUAGAGAGGAAAUUUCACAAGCCAGAGAGGAGAAAAGGAAAUCCUUGAAGAAGAGAAAGGUCUGAGGAGCAUGGUAUUGGAAGAGCAAGGGAGAACAAGCUGUUGAAUUGAUGUGGGGAGGAGGAAAAAACCCUCGGCUGCUCGAUCGACCGAUUGGGACCUAUCAACUGGAUUCAGAGGCUGAAGCAAUGCGGCGUAUUAGAUGGUUUGAUAGAAAGAUAUAAAUCCAACGCCUCCAGACUCCACUCUUUGGUUUUCUAGUUGCCACUACGAGGUGUUGGAACUGUCGGUCAAUUACAGUAUUGUCUUUUGGAGUUGGGUGAGGUCUUCUUGGGGAUGUGGCUGAAAUUUUUGUGGACUCCUUGACUCUCGAAGUUUUGUUAAAAUUUUGGGGCUGAGCUGGUUUGAGUAUGUGUUUAGUUUUACAUUGGUUAUUCGCUGAAA